UACGUAGGGGGCAAGCGUUGUUCGGAAUUACUGGGCGUAAAGAGUGUGUAGGCGGUGUUCUAAGUCUGUUGUGAAAUCUCCCGGCUUAACCGGGAGGGUGCGGCGGAAACUGGAGGGCUUGAGGGUGGGAGAGGUAAGCGGAAUUCCUGGUGUAGCGGUGAAAUGCGUAGAUAUCAGGAGGAACACCGGUGGUGUAGACAGCUUACUGGGCCACUACUGACGCUGAGGCACGAAAGCGUGGGGAGCAAACAGG
This 253-nucleotide ribosomal RNA is filed under the name uncultured bacterium. Its description in RNAcentral is "partial 16S ribosomal RNA". It matches the Rfam family "Bacterial small subunit ribosomal RNA", at positions 524 to 776 of the family's 1533-position model. The record is from RNAcentral.